GACGAACGCUGGCGGCGUGCCUAAUACAUGCAAGUAGAACGCACAGUUUAUACCGUAGCUUGCUACACCAUAGACUGUGAGUUGCGAACGGGUGAGUAACGCGUAGGUAACCUGCCUGGUAGCGGGGGAUAACUAUUGGAAACGAUAGCUAAUACCGCAUAAUAUUGAUUAUUGCAUGAUAAUUGAUUGAAAGAUGCUAUUGCAUCACUACCAGAUGGACCUGCGUUGUAUUAGCUAGUAGGUGAGGUAACGGCUCACCUAGGCGACGAUACAUAGCCGACCUGGGAGGGUGAUCGGCCACACUGGGACUGAGACACGGCCCAGACUCCUACGGGAGGCAGCAGUAGGGAAUCUUCGGCAAUGGACGAAAGUCUGACCGAGCAACGCCGCGUGAGUGAAGAAGGUUUUCGGAUCGUAAAGCUCUGUUGUAAGAGAAGAACGGGUGUGAGAGUGGAAAGUUCACACUGUGACGGUAUCUUACCAGAAAGAGACGGCUAACUACGUG
RNAcentral lists this ribosomal RNA (505 nucleotides) under uncultured bacterium. RNAcentral's name for it is "partial 16S ribosomal RNA". It matches the Rfam family "Bacterial small subunit ribosomal RNA", at positions 28 to 507 of the family's 1533-position model. The record is from RNAcentral.